CCUACGGGGGACAGCAGUGGGGAAUAUUGCACAAUGGUGGAAACACUGAUGCAGCGACGCCGCGUGAGUGAAGAAGUAUCUCGGUACGUAAAGCCCUAUCAGCCGGGAAGCAAAUGACGGUACCUGACUACGAAGCCCCGGCUAACUACGUGCCAGGAGCCGGGGUAAUACGUAGGGGGCCAGCGUUAUCCGGAUUUACUGGGUGUAAAGGGAGCGUAGAGGGGAGCACAAGUCUGGAGUGAAAUCCCGGGGCUUAACCCCGGAACCGCUUUGGAAACUGGGCGGCUGGAGUGGAGGAGGGGUAAGCGGAAUGCGUGGUGUAGCGGUGAAAUGCGUAGAUAUUAGGAGGAACACCGGUGGCGAAGGCGGCUUGCUGGACUGUAACUGACGUUGAGGCACGAAAGCGUGGGGAGCGAACAGGAUUAGAUACCCGGGUAGUC
Molecule: ribosomal RNA, 440 nt
Filed under: uncultured bacterium
Lineage: Bacteria
Description: partial 16S ribosomal RNA
Rfam family: Bacterial small subunit ribosomal RNA
Source: RNAcentral